GGAGAUGGCCCGCGGUCGCUGGAUGAGGGUCUAAAAGAUCUUCAUUCCAGAGGAAAGUCCGGGCUCCACAGGGCAAGGUGGUCCGUAACACGGACCGGGGGUGACCCCAGGGAAAGUGCCACAGAAAACAGACCGCCUGCGGUUGAUACCUAGUGGUAUCAACACAGGUAAGGGUGAAAAGGUGAGGUAAGAGCUCACCAGAUCUCCUGGUGACAGGAGAUGCUUGGUAAACCCCACCUGGAGCAAGGCCAAAUAGGGAGGCGCUCGAGGGUGGCCCGCCCAAAGCCUCCGGGUAGGCUGCUAGAGGUGCUGGGCAACCAGCAUCCCAGAUGAAUGACCGCACCCCAUUCGGGGAACAGAACCCGGCUUAUGGCCAUCUCCAUUU
Molecule: RNase P RNA, 385 nt
Filed under: Dissulfuribacter thermophilus
Lineage: Bacteria; Pseudomonadati; Thermodesulfobacteriota; Dissulfuribacteria; Dissulfuribacterales; Dissulfuribacteraceae
Description: Bacterial RNase P class A
Rfam family: Bacterial RNase P class A
About the family: Ribonuclease P (RNase P) is a ubiquitous endoribonuclease, found in archaea, bacteria and eukarya as well as chloroplasts and mitochondria. Its best characterised activity is the generation of mature 5'-ends of tRNAs by cleaving the 5'-leader elements of precursor-tRNAs.
Source: Rfam by way of RNAcentral